ACAGACAUGGAUUGGGCUAGGGCUCUAGCCACUGGACACCGUUCAUGGUAUUGAGGGAAGGGCACCUGAUGCUGGAUUCUAAUGUGCACUGGCAGAGUUUGCAACAUCUCUGCAGUAAUGUGAGAUGUUAGUCACUCUUCUUUCACUGACUAUUCCUAUGCUAGGACAAAAAUCUACUGAAUCCUAGUGUAGUCAAGGCAAGUUGUUGUUUUAAACUAUUAGAGGCAAAUGCUGGGGCAUAGCCUCAAGCAGCUAACAUUUUAAAACAACAACUUGUCUCGUCUAUACUGGGAUUUUAACACUAACUUUUAACUUAAGUCUUCACUGUAGAGUUACAAGUCAAGUGUUAUCCCUUAACUGAAUCUCUCUCUCCUUUCCCUUUCAGCUGAUGCUUUUAAUUUGUCAGCUAGCCCGAGGGAAUAUGUGCUGCAGCUUGAGGUAGCACAACUCAUCUGCUGCUAACACAAUUAUUGUGCUACUUGAGGGAUGUUUUGCAGUGAAGACAGCCUAUGAACUUCUUUGGGAAUAAGGGGAAGAGUUAAAAGGAUAAUGCUGUGAAAGAAAAGGCCAGUUACUCAUCCAUUGUCUUUGAAAAAGUGUCUUCGCUGAGGCUCUGCCUUGGUACCUGAAAAAACACCAGCUGAGAACCUGUAGUAGUACAGAGUCUUGUCAUAGUAGCCUUGCUUCAAGCUUGGAUUGGCUUGACCUGUGGCAGGGAAGCACCACUAUUCAGCUGUCCUCAGAUCACAGGUUUGGCAUGUCUGUAUCCUGUAAGACAUGAGCUGAAGCAUAAGUGUGGUUAAGUAGGCCAUAACCCUUGGCAUAGAUCAACAGUUACUUUUUAGAUUUUAUGAACUAAGGAGAGCUUGCUUAAUGGUAGGAGUUAGAAUGUUCCAGUAAGUGCUACUGCAAGGAACACAAGUAAUAACUGUAAAUCUGCUUAAGAACAGGUGAUAGAUAUGAUCAUGAGCUGAAAUGGUAAUUACAUCUAUCAGUAUACUAACCUGUUGAAGGAGGACACCUCAGCAUUAGUAGGAUGAGGGAAAUAUAUGUAGGGGAAAAAGUGGGAAAAACCCCUACUGAGUAUGCUUUAGAUAUAGUAGCAUCAGUGUAACAUAUUAUAAAGGUUGCAUCCCAGCCUGUGGGGUAAGAAAGAGGUGUAGUCCUUGGAAGAGGCCAAAACGAUGGCCACUCGUGAUGAGGAAGAUGAGUCUUUCAGGUCGUCCUGCAAGGGAUGGUGUGAGUAUAUGGAUGUACGUUCUGUAGUGUCUCUAUCUUACUGAGUGAGUGUGUGUGACUUCACUAAAUGUAUUAAUAAACUAUUUGGAAAUAUAGAAGAGUUCCUAUAGUGAGUGUUGCAGCUGUGCACAUUGGGGUUCCCAACUAUAUAGUAAUUUUAAUAAUACUGGGCCUGCUCUUGGGCCAAGGACCUGUCAACUGUCAAAAUGAUACCUGGGAAUUUUUAGGUAAUCAAUAUAAUUAAUACUCACACUAUAGAUCAGGCUACACACUCCUGUCAGUAGGACAGGUGGCAUUUUAAGGCUUCAGGACUACACUGAACAAAGCUUUUCUCAUCACCAUCUUUUAGAUAAUAGGAAAGUCCCAGAACAUCAGUUUCUGUGAUGAGUGAAAGAGGAGGUAAUAACUAGAGCUUGUUGGAAAAUGCUGAUUCACUAGAAUUGAAACUUUACACAGGAAUGUAUCCAAUCAAUAGAAAUUUUUGAUGGAAACCAGGUCUUCCUGGUUUCCUGCCCAGAAUCCCCUGCUCCCUGGAAUUUUUCAAAACAUUGUUUUGAUUCUCUGGAUUCUUUCUUAAAAUUACUUUGCACCAAAUAUUUUGAUUGUUUUUGUGUUUGUUCUAAUUCAGAACAAAAAAAAAAUUGUAAAAUAAUUUGUUUUUUGACCAGCUCUAGUGCUAACUGAACAGCAGGAUAAGCCCCUUCAUCCCACUCCCUCUCUAAGAGGUUUCUUUUGUUUUACAGUACUUUUCCUGUUCUCUAGAGGGGGAUUAUUUUUUAUGUCCAUAUUUGGCAUGCUGUACUCAGAAGCUUUGUUUUCUCCCAUGGAAGGUUGGCCAGCAGAAUGAUUUACUUUUAUAUAAAACAAAAUUUCAUAGCAAAUCCUGGAAUGUGGUUAAUAUUGUGGGGGUUCUCUAUAUCUAACCAUAUUGCCAAAUAUGAACAAUCUUUAUAAUACAAAAAAGCCUUUCACAGUUCACACCAAUAAAGGAUUGCCAGGCCUUGUCUACACUUACAGCAGGGCAGCUGCACCCCUGUAGCGCUUCAUGAAGAUGGUGUCUGCGCUAACGGGAGAGCUUCUCCCAUCAGCGUAGGUACUCCACCUCCCCGACAUAGCACUGUCUACACUGGGAGUUAGGUUGGUAUAACUGGAAAAUCCAUACCCCUGAGCAACAUAUUUAUACUGCUAUAAGUUCAUAGUGUAGACCAGGGCCCAGUCAGAGCACUUGUUACUUUGUACAUCAGUUUGGCUUUGCAUAAAUUUCAUUAUCCCACUCCAUGUUAGCUGGAUCAGUUACAAUGCAUAGGUCUGAAAACACCCUCUGAUUUUAAUCAAAAGUACAUUUCAGCUCACUUUUGGGCCAGCCUGUUUGCAUGAGGCUGGGAGGUUGAGUGUGUUCAGCCAGGUCUGGUAAGAAAGCAUCUAUCACUCUGUUCCUCCAUCUGCUGGGCACCUGCAGUUGUUAAGUGAGUGGGCUGUAAUGUUAACCCUCGGAAGGAGUCUGUGCAGUAAUUACACUGAGCAUGAGUGGAUUUAUCCUGAUCAGCAACCCAUCCCAGCCUGUCCUGCAGGCACAUAUUUCUCUCCUGCUGCUUCCUAGUCUGAAACAAAGGGAAGUGGUUGCAGAAGGCAGGCUGACCAGGAAUGGGGCAGGUUCCUGGCUGAAGAGGGGCAGGAUUCAUUGUAAGACACCACCUCCUCUGCUCUUCUCAGAAGUUACUGACUCUGGCACAGCACCCUCUAGCAUAGGUGGUCCUCCCUGACACAUUGUCCCUUAGAAACCUAACAAGUCCCUGGAAAUCAGCCAACAGUAUAUAAGGACUGUGUGUGAAUCAGGUGUGAGAGGAAGCCUUCAAUUAUAUCACUCCCCUUAUUCUACUACUUAAUCCAGAUCUUUCAGGGGGAUUAGACUGUUAAUGUCCAGACCUAGAGACUGACUCAACACAAUUCAUUUUUCACAAACUUCAUUGACAUUCUUUUACCACUCACUACCAAAUCCACCAUUACUCACAGUCUUUGGCCGUUCAGUCUUUCCAGAUGUUACAUUGCUACCUUUGGGAUCUGGAGUCAAAGGAUUCUGCUUGUAAUCCCUAGGUAGAGUUGAUGCUGAGAGCACUGUGCGCUGGGCCCAGGAUGCAGAACCUAUAUUAUAAAUAAUGUGGAGUUACAGCAGAACUUGACUUUAGCAAAAAUACACAAAGCACCUGUUCUCAAAAAUACAGAUGUUAACAGUCAUACAGAACUGUAAGCAACUUCUUUCUUAGUCCUGUCCUAACUGCAUAGCGGUUCCUGUAUAGUUUCUAAGAGAAUGUGCAGAAUUAAAAAUAGCCACAAUAUUUCUGCAUAAAAAGUUCAUCAAAGCCCAUACCCUGUCACAGCUUAGAGAAAGUCUCAUUACUAAGGGAGUCAUACAUAUAUUCCACCAUCAGUGGACAGAUCAGUGAAGCAGAUCUUUGCUGAUCCAAACUCUAUAAUCCAUUAUAUGCAAAUAGUUUCUCCAAAGCACUAUUGUCAUUAUCCCUUAGAUUGCAACAGAAUCAAAAAUGAAAGAUGAUGUGUUUCUUCAAUUUCAAGUGUUAGCUUAGUUUUUCCCUUCACUAGGUCUUCACAUGGACAGAGGAACUUCCCUAAUUGACUGUUGGUCCAGUUAGCCACAGAAAUCUCUAAAGCAGAUGCUGAGUUUCUAACCAGCUACUCAUAUGAUUAGCUCUAAUCUUGGAUUGUCUCCACAUACAGCAUAGUUAAUAUUCUGUUAGUAGCCACUGGCAGCUUGCCACAUGUCACCCGUGCCAACAGCCUUGACUGAUACCUAACUAUGUUUCUGUAAACUAAUUAUAGCACUUAUUUUGCCAUACAGAUACGACCCUACAUCAGUAUAAUUGAGAUGGGUGCUCCUCCUCCUUCCCAUAUCUUUGUGCAGCAAGACGUCCCAGAAUGUAUUGUUCUGUGUCCCCUGCUGAGGCAAAUGAAUCUGAGGCAAUAUGGCAACAGGCCAGAUUUUCUCAGAAAGCACUGAUAGGCAGCAUGGUGGACAGUUGGUUGUGCUGUGACUAAAGCAUCUAUGUGGACAACUCAACUGUGUUUAUUGUAACCAGAUCACAUGAGAGUGUCAAGACCUGGCUGUGGUUGCAAUUACAGCCUAAAUAGAUAGAGAUACAGCAACUGUACGCUUGUCACCCCUAGAUGAAUAUGAACACUAGAAUGAAGGGUAAUGCAUGCAAUUACUUUAGGGCUUGAUAUUACAACUAAAGACAAUACAGCCUUAUUCAAAUUAAUAAAAAAUAUAAACCUUUGCACUCUGUGAGCCUGCUUUUCCUGACAAAGUGCAUUACUGCAAAUGGGUGGGAAGUGAUAGUUAUUCUGUAUUGGUUUAUUACCUAAUAAAGAACGUCUUACGCUGCUAGCAUUAUAAGACAUCAGAUUAGUGGACUUCUUCAUUCCUUUUUAAAGAAAUAAAUUACAACAGCCAUAAUACAGUACACAAUUAACACCAUAAUCAUCAAGAAGAAGCUAGAAAAAAGCAUGUCCUUUUAGUAUUUGGGGACAGACAUCUGUGGAAUGUCUGUAUUUUGAGGCAGGCUCCAUUUUAAACAAAGGCUUUGCCUUGCUCUCCAGACAAGUUCUCCAGCUAUGCAGCAGGUUGAAGAAUGGGAACUCCCUGCCAGCCAAAUACUUUGAAAUGUCCAAGCUGAUUUUCACUUCUUUUCAUCCUGUGUGUCUGAUUUGCCCAUAGAGAGCUAGCUCUGGUUGGUUCAGAAUGUACUCAUCCUUACUUGCCCGGUUGGUUUUUACGCUGGCCAUAUGUUUCAUCUCUACUAACACUGGAAAGGCAGUUUAAUAUUCUUAACACUGUGUGUGAAUUUCAGUGCUUAUGAAAGGUGUCUGACUUACACUACUGGAAACGGAGGGCUUUUAUUUACCCCUCAGAACAGAUGCCGCAUGGGCAGCAACAGCACAAGCUUCCCCGUACUGUCCUACCAACAUGUUUCACUCCUGAUGUAGAGGGACCACCAAAAGGAGCUACGGCUCCAUGGCAGCCCAUCCAGCUUUUGUCCUCUCUAUUAAAGACUACACAGCCAUGCCAACUCUAGUGACUUCGGUGAAGAGAACAUCUGGUGAAGUGAACUGAUGACUCGAACACCUCUUUUCACAUAGGACAACGAAAAAACCAUCAUAUGGACGCUUCCAUUGACUAUUGACCUGGGCAAUUUUUUUUGUCACUACCAUCAACCUAGAGGUGAAAAGCUUUAUAUGCCUCAGCAGUUCUAAUGGCAUCCCUAGAAUUCUGUGAAGAUGUAAGGGUGAGCAACUAACGGAAGUAUCAGGAAUAUUUUAUAUUGCAAUGAAUUUGCAGGGCUGAAUUUGCUGCCAGAUCAGAACCCUCUGCUGUCUCUGAAAUGCUAGACAUCGCUUCUUCUGAAAGUCAGUGGCUAGAGAAAUCUUCACUUAGUUCCUCUUAACCUUUCAGUGGAAACACAAAUAGAUCUCCGAUUAAAUGCACUGAAAUAAUGCAUUAGAAAGGGAAAACCCACAAUGAGUUGCAAAUCAACCCUGCAACUACCGAAUGUACAGCGAAAAACCCCAGCAGGGAACAUCUUUCCACACAGACACACUGUCUCAGCUGGCAAUGUUUUCAAGAGACGGAAUGAAACUAUAAAAAAGAGAGAAACUCCCCAGCGCACCUCUCUCUCUCCCUGCUCAUCACAUUCACUGCAUCUGAAGAGACAAAGGAAGCAGCCAUUGGACUCUAGGGGAGGGGUCCUGACUGGAAAUUUUGGUCAGUUAUUUUCUGAAGCAUGUGGUAAAAAAAGCUUAGCUUUGAAUCUAAUACUGUUUCUUAAGUUAGCCACCAGUACGCAUUUUAUCUUUAUUUUUCUGGUAACCAUUUCUGACUUUUAUGCCUCAUUACUUGUACUCACUUAAAAUCUUUCUUUGUAGUUAAUAAACUUGUUUUAUUGUUUUAUCUAGUCCAGUGUGUUUAAGUCAAAGUGUUUGGGUAAUUCCAUUUGGGGUAAUAAGUUGUGUGCAUAUUAUUCCCUCAAGGGAAUAACAGACUUAAUAUAUUUGUAUUGUUCAGGAGAGGGCUGGGCAGUACAGGACAUAGGUUUCUGGGGGAAAAUCUGGGACUGGGAGUGUGUUGGUGUCACCCUGUGGUAAUCUUUAAGGCUGGUAAGAGCCCACAGGGGCUGGUUGGCUGCAGCACACACAGAGACAUAGCUGGACAUGCUGGAGGCUGUUUGUGAGCAGUCCAAGUUGGAGGCUACAUAAGCAAAGCACUCUAAAGGGCAUCCCAGGUUACAGGGCAGGAGUGACAAAGCUACUCAUUGGUCUGGAUUGUACCCUGGUAUGUCAGAACUGGAUGUCAUUUUUUUAG
Non-coding RNA from Caretta caretta (loggerhead turtle), 6613 nucleotides. The record is from RefSeq and is a predicted model, not a curated record. NCBI's taxonomy places the organism in Eukaryota, Metazoa, Chordata, Testudines, Cheloniidae.